UACGGAGGAUCCGAGCGUUAUCCGGAUUUACUGGGUUUAAAGGGAGCGUAGGCGGAUUGGUAAGUCAGUGGUGAAAUCUUUGGGCUUAACCCAGAAACUGCCAUUGAUACUGCUGAUCUAGAGUACAGUUGCCGUUGGCGGAAUAUGACAUGUAGUGGUGAAAUACUUAGAUAUGUCAUAGAACACCGAUUGCGAAGGCAGCUAACGAAGCUGUAACUGACGCUGAGGCUCGAAAGUGCGGGGAUCAAACAGG
RNAcentral lists this ribosomal RNA (253 nucleotides) under uncultured bacterium. RNAcentral describes it as "partial 16S ribosomal RNA". It matches the Rfam family "Bacterial small subunit ribosomal RNA", at positions 524 to 776 of the family's 1533-position model. The record is from RNAcentral.